UUUCCGUAGGUGAACCUGCGGAAGGAUCAUCAGUGAAAUACCACUUUCUUAUUUACACCCCUUUGUGCAUUUCGGGAGGGGGGGAAAGUCUUGAAAAAGCCUCCCCCCCCCUUUCUUUUUUUUUUAAAAACAAAAACAACCCCCCAAUUCUUUUUUAAAUUAUCCAUACCCCAUAUAAAAACAUUAGACAACUUUUAACAACGGAUCUCUUGGCUCUC
Molecule: unclassified non-coding RNA, 218 nt
Filed under: plant metagenome
Description: partial contains small subunit ribosomal RNA, internal transcribed spacer 1, and 5.8S ribosomal RNA
Source: RNAcentral